This 76-nucleotide transfer RNA is filed under the name Ruegeria phage vB_RpoS-V10. RNAcentral describes it as "tRNA-Pro". It matches the Rfam family "tRNA". Rfam says of the family: Transfer RNA (tRNA) molecules are approximately 80 nucleotides in length. Their secondary structure includes four short double-helical elements and three loops (D, anti-codon, and T loops). Lineage: Duplodnaviria; Heunggongvirae; Uroviricota; Caudoviricetes. The record is from RNAcentral.
CAGGGUAUAGCUUAGUUGGUAAAGUGCUCCCCUCGGACGGGAGAGAGCGCAGGUUCGAGACCUGCUACCCUGACCA